UACAGAGGGGGCAAGCGUUGUCCGGAAUUACUGGGCGUAAAGCGUACGCAGGUGGCCGUGCAAGUGUGAUGUGAAAGCCCCGCGCUUAACGCGGGGAGGCCAUUACAGACUGCAUAGCUCGAGGGAUGCAGAGGGUCGUGGAAUUGCCGGUGUAGUGGUGAAAUGCGUAGAGAUCGGCAGGAACACCAAGGACGAAGGUAGCGACCUGGGCAUCACCUGACACUCAUGUACGACAGCGUGGGGAGCGAACCGG
This 253-nucleotide ribosomal RNA is filed under the name uncultured bacterium. RNAcentral's name for it is "partial 16S ribosomal RNA". It matches the Rfam family "Bacterial small subunit ribosomal RNA", at positions 524 to 776 of the family's 1533-position model. The record is from RNAcentral.